UACGGAGGGUGCAAGCGUUGCUCGGAAUCACUGGGCGUAAAGCGACCGCAGGUGGCCUGACAAGUCGGAUGUGAAAGCCCUGGGCUCAACUCAGGAAUUGCAUUCGAAACUGGCAGGCUCGAGUACGGGAGAGGGGGGUGGAAUUCCUGGUGUAGGGGUGAAAUUCGUUGAUAUCAGGAGGAACACCGGUGGCGAAGGCGGAUCUCUGGGCCUUACCUGACGCUGAGGCGCGAAAGCUAGGGGAGCGAACAGG
RNAcentral lists this ribosomal RNA (253 nucleotides) under uncultured bacterium. RNAcentral describes it as "partial 16S ribosomal RNA". It matches the Rfam family "Bacterial small subunit ribosomal RNA", at positions 524 to 776 of the family's 1533-position model. The record is from RNAcentral.